UGGAGCUGCUCACAGUCUAUGCCUGGGAACAUGGGAGCCGACGCCUUGAGUUCAACACAGCCCAGGGAUUCCGGACAGUCUUGGAACUGGUCACCAACUACAGGAAUCUUUGAGUCUACUGGAGAGUGUAUUAUGACUUGCCAGACCGGGAGGUCUCCAAAUACUUGCUCAGACAACUUAGAAAAGACAGACCUGUGAUCCUGGACCCAGCUGACCCAACAAGGAACGUGGCUGGUGGGAACUCAUUGGGCUGGUGGCUGCUGGCUGGAGAGGCAACAACCUAGCUGGAGUACCCAUGUGUUAAGGAUUGUGAAAUGUCCCCAUUGCGCCCCUGGCCUGUGUCAGCAGAGUCUGAAGAGCCAUAGGAAUGCGUCCUCCUGUGAGCACAGCAGCACCUGCAAAG
Molecule: long non-coding RNA, 403 nt
Filed under: Cricetulus griseus (Chinese hamster)
Lineage: Eukaryota; Metazoa; Chordata; Mammalia; Rodentia; Cricetidae
Description: lncRNA (ENSCGRG00015039212.1)
Source: RNAcentral